AAGCCAGCCACCGAAUCUUCUUGCCUGAUUAUGCUUCUACGGAAAUGUUUAAACAAACUGCUGAUAGUAAAGAAUUGUUAUGAGCCUUAAUGACACCGGGGUCAUGAAGGCCCCUGAAAGUGUCUAUAUGA
This is a small nucleolar RNA of Erinaceus europaeus (western European hedgehog), 131 nucleotides long. NCBI's taxonomy places the organism in Eukaryota, Metazoa, Chordata, Mammalia, Eulipotyphla, Erinaceidae. The record is from Ensembl.